GUGCUGGCUUCGGCAGCACAUAUACUAAAAUUGGAACGAUACAGAGAAGAUUAGCAUGGCCCCUCCGCAAGGAUGACACGCGAAUUUGCGAAGUGUUCCGUAUUUUC
Camelus dromedarius (Arabian camel) is the source of this 107-nucleotide small nuclear RNA. Lineage: Eukaryota; Metazoa; Chordata; Mammalia; Artiodactyla; Camelidae. The record is from Ensembl.